UACGGAGGGAGCUAGCGUUGUUCGGAAUUACUGGGCGUAAAGCGCGCGUAGGCGGUUUUUCAAGUCAGUGGUGAAAGCCCGGGGCUCAACCCCGGAAUAGCCUUUGAAACUGGAAAGCUAGAAUCUUGGAGAGGUCAGUGGAAUUCCGAGUGUAGAGGUGAAAUUCGUAGAUAUUCGGAAGAACACCAGUGGCGAAGGCGACUGACUGGACAAGUAUUGACGCUGAUGGACGAAAGCGUGGGUAGCGAACAGG
This 253-nucleotide ribosomal RNA is filed under the name uncultured bacterium. RNAcentral's name for it is "partial 16S ribosomal RNA". It matches the Rfam family "Bacterial small subunit ribosomal RNA", at positions 524 to 776 of the family's 1533-position model. The record is from RNAcentral.